RNAcentral lists this ribosomal RNA (253 nucleotides) under uncultured bacterium. RNAcentral describes it as "partial 16S ribosomal RNA". It matches the Rfam family "Bacterial small subunit ribosomal RNA", at positions 524 to 776 of the family's 1533-position model. The record is from RNAcentral.
UACAGAGGGGGCAAGCGUUAUUCGGAAUUACUGGGCGUAAAGGGCGCGUAGGCGGCGUGACAAGUCACUUGUGAAAUCUCCGGGCUUAACCCGGAGCGGCCAAGUGAUACUGUCGUGCUAGAGUGCGGAAGGGGCUGCUGGAAUUCUCGGUGUAGCGGUGAAAUGCGUAGAUAUCGAGAGGAACACCUGCGGCGAAGGCGGGUAGCUGGGCCGACACUGACGCUGAUGCGCGAAAGCCAGGGGAGCGAACGGG